This 495-nucleotide ribosomal RNA is filed under the name uncultured bacterium. RNAcentral describes it as "partial 16S ribosomal RNA". It matches the Rfam family "Bacterial small subunit ribosomal RNA", at positions 28 to 523 of the family's 1533-position model. The record is from RNAcentral.
GAUGAACGCUAGCGGGAGGCCUAACACAUGCAAGCCGAGCGGUAUUGUUUCUUCGGAAAUGAGAGAGCGGCGUACGGGUGCGGAACACGUGUGCAACCUGCCUUUAUCUGGGGGAUAGCCUUUCGAAAGGAAGAUUAAUACUCCAUAAUAUAUUGAACGGCAUCGUUUAAUAUUGAAAGCUUCGGCGGAUAGAGAUGGGCACGCGCAAGAUUAGCUAGUUGGUGAGGUAACGGCUCACCAAGGCGAUGAUCUUUAGGGGGCCUGAGAGGGUGAUCCCCCACACUGGUACUGAGACACGGACCAGACUCCUACGGGAGGCAGCAGUGAGGAAUAUUGGUCAAUGGGUGCAAGCCUGAACCAGCCAUCCCGCGUGAAGGACGACUGCCCUAUGGGUUGUAAACUUCUUUUGUAUAGGGAUAAACCUACCCUCGUGAGGGUAGCUGAAGGUACUAUACGAAUAAGCACCGGCUAACUCCGUGCCAGCCGCCGCCGUAA